Oncorhynchus tshawytscha (Chinook salmon) is the source of this 3605-nucleotide long non-coding RNA. The record is from Ensembl. Lineage: Eukaryota; Metazoa; Chordata; Actinopteri; Salmoniformes; Salmonidae.
AAUGACUCUGAUUCUAUGAUUCUAAUUCUAUACACUGUACUGGAACCACAGAAUUAGAAUGACUCUGAUUCUAAGAUUCUAAUUCUAUACACUGUACUGGAACCACAGAAUUAGAAUGACUCUGAUUCUAUGAUUCUAAUUCUAUACACUGUACUGGAACCACAGAAUUAGAAUGACUCUGAUUCUAAGAUUCUAAUUCUAUACACUGUACUGGAACCACAGAAUUAGAAUGACUCUGAUUCUAUGAUUCUAAUUCUAUACACUGUACUGGGACAUUGGUAUGCGCUGUAUACUGUAGAAUCCCAGCAGCUGAUAACGGCAUUGAUCAGGUCCAACAAGGGAUGAUAUGUUACAAGAACACUGGACAUUUUCACACUGUAUCUCUGUAUCACUGUAUCUUGCCCAAUGGAUUUAAUAAUGCUUAACCACUAGCCAAAUACGAUGUGUGUUUAAGAAGUACUUUCUUAGCUAUAUAUUUUCUGUUUUAUUUUGUUUGAAUGGUAGAAGAUCAGAGACGACUUUCUGCUCUGGAUCGUGAUGUUGAUAGUCUCUCCAGACAUGUUGAUAGUCUCUCCCGUAGUCUCUCCAGACAUCUGCUUUGCCUCCCACAAUUUUCAAAUGCUCCAACUUAGGGUCUGGUUUUCAAGACUAGACAACACAAGUAUUGACAUCUGAACAGCGUUUUUUUUAAACCCCUGGUGCCUUAUCUUUCUCUAUAAAACAGGAAGGCUGUCAUCUUAUCACCAGACAGAAGCAGCUCAUGGACUUGAUUGAAUGCUGUUCAUGUCUGAGCUAAUAGAGGCAUCCAUUUUGUGACCUGGGACUUGUAUAACCGAACAAGAAAGAAAGGGUUACCAGAGGUCACUCUAACACCUUCCUGAAUGAGUCCAGAGAUCACUCUAACAUUCUCCUGAAUGAGUCCAGAGGUCACUCUAACAUUCUCCUGAAUGAGUCCAGAGAUCACUCUAACACCUUCCUGAAUGAGUCCAGAGAUCACUCUAACAUUCUCCUGAAUGAGUCCAGAGGUCACUCUAACAUUCUCCUGAAUGAGUCCAGAGGUCACUCUAACAUUCUCCUGAAUGAGUCCAGAGGUCACUCUAACAUUCUCCUGAAUGAGUCCAGAGAUCACUCUAACACCUUCCUGAAUGAGUCCAGAGAUCACUCUAACAUUCUCCUGAAUGAGUCCAGAGGUCACUCUAACAUUCUCCUGAAUGAGUCCAGAGGUCACUCUAACAUUCUCCUGAAUGAGUCCAGAGAUCACUCUAACAUUCUCCUGAAUGAGUCCAGAGAUCACUCUUACAUUCUCCUGAAUGAGUCCAGAGAUCACUCUAACAUUCUCCUGAAUGAGUCCAGAGAUCACUCUAACAUUCUCCUGAAUGAGUACAGAGGUCACUAUAACAUUCUCCUGAAUGAGUCCAGAGGUCACUCUAACAUUCUCCUGAAUGAGUCCAGAGGUCACUCUAACAUUCUCUGAAUGAGUCCAGAGGUCACGCUAACAUUCUCCUGAAUGAGUCCAGAGGUCACUCUAACAUUCUCCUGAAUGAGUCCAGAGGUCACUAACACCUUCCUGAAUGAGUCCAGAGGUCACUAACACCUUCCUGAAUGAGUCCAGAGAUCACUAACACCUUCCUGAAUGAGUCCAGAGGUCACUAACACCUUCCUGAAUGAGUCCAGGGGUCACUAACACCUUACUGAAUGAGUCCAGAGGUCACUAACACCUUCCUGAAUGAGUCCAGAGGUCACUAACAUUGAUUGCUCUAAAUCUGUGUAACACUUUUUGUCUUCCCCUCUCUGACGGGAAACAACACCCUGUCCCCGAAGUCAUGUUUAUACCUCCUCUGGAAAUAGUUUUUCAUAUGUCCUCUGUUAUUGUCUUUCCCUUUACUCACUGACCACUCCCCUCUUUGAUAUACUAUUGGCCAUGUUCCUCAUAUGUCGGAACUAUACACUACUUAUUAUAUACAUGUGUGAUGAAGGACCCUUUGGACAUCUGGUAUCUGAAUGGUAUCAAGUUAACAAAGUAUUCUGAUUCUGUGAUCAGGUGUGUUGAAACAGGUGUGUUGAAACACAGUCCCUCUAAGGUGUGUUGAAGAUCUCACCUGACCUGUUGUGUCAUGAGAAAUAUAAAUUUUAAAAAACAUAAUCAAAUGAAUAUACUUCAUUGAACAUGACAAAAUAUAAAGACAUUGUACUAUACUGUAUUACCAAUAUGAUGUUGACAUACAUGAGUACAGUGUAAUAUUUUAGCUUAUUUAUAAUGCACCAGCCAGCCUUUACAGUAAAACCAGCAUAGCAUUGUAUAUAUCAACUGAUUUAUGCUCUCUUGGGUGGUUGCAUCUGGUUCCAACUGGUUUCAACUGGUUUCAAAUGGUUCCAACUGGUUUCAACUGGUUCCAACUGGCUCCAUCUGGUUCCAACUGGUUCCACAUGGUUUCAACUGGUUCCAACUGGUUUCAACUGGUUCCAAAUGGUUCCAACUGGUUCCACAUGGUUUCAACUGGUUCCAACUGGUUUCAACUGGUUCCAAAUGGUUCCAACUUGUUCCACGUGGUUUCAACUGGUUUCAACUGGUUCCAAAUGGUUCCAACUAGUUCCAAAUGGUUCCAACUGGUUCCACGUGGUUUCAACUGGUUCCAACUGGUUCCAACUUGUUCCACGUGGUUUCAACUGGUUCCACGUGGUUUCAACUGGUUCCAAAUGGUUCCAACUAGUUCCAAAUGGUUCCAACUGGUUCCACGUGGUUUCAACUGGUUCCAACUGGUUCCACGUGGUUUCAACUGGUUCCAACUGGUUCCACGUGGUUUCAACUGGUUCCAACUGGUUUCAAAUGGUUCCAACUGGUUCCAAAUGGUUCCAACUGGUUCCAAGUGGUUCCAACUGGUUUUAAAUGGUAUAGAAAUUCAUCAACUGUUCCUGUGUAGCUUCAUUUUGUAACAAUGUAUGUUCCUUUUUAUGUUAUUUUAGUUAUAUCAUUAUACUGUUGACUGUUGUUACUCUAUCCUUGUUGUUGUUGUUGUUAUAUUAUUCAUAUGUAAACAUUGUUAUGCUAUAUUAUGAAACUCUGUGCCAAUCAAAAUCGCUAUUCGGCUUUUACCUGUCUCACUGGAUAAGAAAACACACACAGAGAGAGAAAGAGAGAGAGAGAGUAGAGAAUUGAAGGAGUUUGUCUGGUGGGAGUCCGUGAUGUCAUCGGGCUCCAUCUUGCUUGAGGAACUGCAGAGACCUAAGGAGGAAAGGCCAUCCUGUGUCACACCCUGUCACACCUGGACUACCGAUUGAGAUGUGGCUUUUGUUAAGGAAAUCAGGUGUUAAAUGACACUUUAAAUCUUUACUUCAUUUUUUAAAAUACGUUUAUCUUAUUACUCUAAUUCUUAUGGCUUAAAGCCCUUCAGAGCACUAAAAUACUUAAUGAAAGCAUAAAUACCCCUCCUUCAUUCACCUCUAUACUAUUCCUGUUCCUGCUUUUAAAGUCCUCCCUAUAAAUGUGUGAUUUUUAGUCUUACCUCUUACUUUAUUUUUAAUACACGAUCAUUACAUUUAUUUUGGAACCUUUGCUGUUUUGUAUUUUUGUGUUAAAGAGCAUGUUGCCAUAAUAUGAAUGCAGU